ACGAACGCUGGCGGCAUGCCUAACACAUGCAAGUCGAACGAGACCUUCGGGUCUAGUGGCGCACGGGUGCGUCACGCGUGGGAACCUGCCCUUAGGUUCGGAAUAACUCCCCGAAAGGGGUGCUAAUACCGGAUAAUGUCUUCGGACCAAAGAUUUAUCGCCUUUGGAUGGGCCCGCGUUGGAUUAGCUAGUUGGUAGGGUAAAAGCCUACCAAGGCGACGAUCCAUAGCUGGUCUGAGAGGAUGAUCAGCCACACUGGGACUGAGACACGGCCCAGACUCCUACGGGAGGCAGCAGUGGGGAAUAUUGGACAAUGGGCGAAAGCCUGAUCCAGCAAUGCCGCGUGAGUGAUGAAGGCCUUAGGGUUGUAAAGCUCUUUUACCCGGGAUGAUAAUGACAGUACCGGGAGAAUAAGCUCCGGCUAACUCCGCG
Molecule: ribosomal RNA, 432 nt
Filed under: uncultured bacterium
Lineage: Bacteria
Description: partial 16S ribosomal RNA
Rfam family: Bacterial small subunit ribosomal RNA
Source: RNAcentral